AAACUCAAGAACAGCAAAGAAUCAUGUUAAGAAAUGUGCAAAGAAAAUGAGUGGAUAUUUUUCAAAAGAAAAAUUCAAAUGGAUAAUAGACAU
This is a long non-coding RNA of Ochotona curzoniae (black-lipped pika), 93 nucleotides long. RefSeq lists it as uncharacterized. The transcript has 3 exons. The record is from RefSeq and is a predicted model, not a curated record. Lineage: Eukaryota; Metazoa; Chordata; Mammalia; Lagomorpha; Ochotonidae.